GCUGGAUGUGGUGGUACACGCCUGUAAUCCCAACAACUUGGGAGGCUGAGGCAGGAGCAUUGCAAGUUUGAGACCAGUCUGGGCAAUUUAGUGAGACCCUGUCUCAA
Molecule: small RNA, 107 nt
Filed under: Marmota monax (woodchuck)
Lineage: Eukaryota; Metazoa; Chordata; Mammalia; Rodentia; Sciuridae
Source: RNAcentral